This 1361-nucleotide ribosomal RNA is filed under the name uncultured bacterium. Its description in RNAcentral is "bacterial SSU rRNA". It matches the Rfam family "Bacterial small subunit ribosomal RNA", at positions 28 to 1381 of the family's 1533-position model. The record is from RNAcentral.
AUUGAACGCUGGCGGCAGGCCUAACACAUGCAAGUCGAGCGGUAGCACAGAGAGCUUGCUCUCGGGUGACGAGCGGCGGACGGGUGAGUAAUGUCUGGGAAACUGCCUGAUGGAGGGGGAUAACUACUGGAAACGGUAGCUAAUACCGCAUAACGUCGCAAGACCAAAGUGGGGGACCUUCGGGCCUCAUGCCAUCAGAUGUGCCCAGAUGGGAUUAGCUAGUAGGUGGGGUAACGGCUCACCUAGGCGACGAUCCCUAGCUGGUCUGAGAGGAUGACCAGCCACACUGGAACUGAGACACGGUCCAGACUCCUACGGGAGGCAGCAGUGGGGAAUAUUGCACAAUGGGCGCAAGCCUGAUGCAGCCAUGCCGCGUGUGUGAAGAAGGCCUUCGGGUUGUAAAGCACUUUCAGCGGGGAAGAAGGCGGUGAGGUUAAUAACCUUGUCGAUUGACGUUACCCGCAGAAGAAGCACCGGCUAACUCCGUGCCAGCAGCCGCGGUAAUACGGAAGGUGCAAGCGUUAAUCGGAAUUACUGGGCGUAAAGCGCACGCAGGCGGUCUGUCAAGUCGGAUGUGAAAUCCCCGGGCUCAACCUGGGAACUGCAUUCGAAACUGGCAGGCUAGAGUCUUGUAGAGGGGGGUAGAAUUCCAGGUGUAGCGGUGAAAUGCGUAGAGAUCUGGAGGAAUACCGGUGGCGAAGGCGGCCCCCUGGACAAAGACUGACGCUCAGGUGCGAAAGCGUGGGGAGCAAACAGGAUUAGAUACCCUGGUAGUCCACGCCGUAAACGAUGUCGAUUUGGAGGUUGUGCCCUUGAGGCGUGGCUUCCGGAGCUAACGCGUUAAAUCGACCGCCUGGGGAGUACGGCCGCAAGGUUAAAACUCAAAUGAAUUGACGGGGGCCCGCACAAGCGGUGGAGCAUGUGGUUUAAUUCGAUGCAACGCGAAGAACCUUACCUGGUCUUGACAUCCACAGAACUUUCCAGAGAUGGAUUGGUGCCUUCGGGAACUGUGAGACAGGUGCUGCAUGGCUGUCGUCAGCUCGUGUUGUGAAAUGUUGGGUUAAGUCCCGCAACGAGCGCAACCCUUAUCCUUUGUUGCCAGCGGUUAGGCCGGGAACUCAAAGGAGACUGCCAGUGAUAAACUGGAGGAAGGUGGGGAUGACGUCAAGUCAUCAUGGCCCUUACGACCAGGGCUACACACGUGCUACAAUGGCAUAUACAAAGAGAAGCGACCUCGCGAGAGCAAGCGGACCUCAUAAAGUAUGUCGUAGUCCGGAUUGGAGUCUGCAACUCGACUCCAUGAAGUCGGAAUCGCUAGUAAUCGUAGAUCAGAAUGCUACGGUGAAUACGUUCCCGGGCCU